Molecule: ribosomal RNA, 2507 nt
Filed under: Triticum aestivum (bread wheat)
Lineage: Eukaryota; Viridiplantae; Streptophyta; Magnoliopsida; Poales; Poaceae
Description: partial small subunit ribosomal RNA
Source: RNAcentral
CAAACCUAGCCCCCAAUCCCCUUCUGCCCCGAGCCGUGCAGCGAGCGACAGCGAAAGGAACACUCCCCACGCGCACGAACCCUAGCCGCCGCUCUCCUCUCCCGCGACCCCCAACCACCACCGCUCCUCUCUCCUCUGCCUCGACUCCCAACCAUCCAACCCAAACUCCGGCGGCCUCCUCUCCCUCCAGCACCGCCGCUCCAGCCUCACCUUCCUUCCUCUCCAAAGGAAGGGAAGGGAAGUGAAGGGGAGGGGAGGCUCCAGAUCGAGCGGAGCCGACCAAAUCGGGCUCCUGCAGAAGAGCUCGCCUCCUCCCUCACAAAAGCGGCGACCGAGAGAGAGGGCAAGGGCGCGAACGAGAAGGGAAGGGAUGGAAUGGGAGAAGGGAAGGGUGCGAACCAGGGCAGUGGAGGCGCAGGGCGCGAACGAGAGGAUUAGGUUGAGCAUACCGCCGACGACAUCGUUUCAAGCUCAAGAUGGUCUACAGAUACGUGCAACAAUUGAGGUUUCAUGUGCAAGGAAGCAAAGAAGAUGUGAGACCGUUUUUUUUUUGGAAUAGAAGAAUCAAAGGAUACACCGACAAAGUCAGUCUGAACUUCGAUUAAAUAUGAUAUGCGUGUUUACAAAUCUUUCCUUCAUGAAUAUUUUGGGGUUUCAUGUGCAAGGAAGCAAAGAAGAUGUGAGACCAUUUUUUUUUGGAAUAGAAGAAUCAAAGGAUACACCGACAAAGUCAGUCUGAACUUCGAUUAAAUAUGAUAUGCGUGUUUACAAAUCUUUCCUUCAUGAAUAUUUUGAAACCUUCAGAUUAUGCUAUUACUGUGGGAUUUUUUAGUGUCCUGGAAAAGGCAUACAUGCUGAUAUGUGUUUUCUGGCAGAGCAGUCUUCAACAUUGACGGUUACCAUUUUUAUUUUUUAUCUCAGCUCGUGAGAUUUCUCUACUGUCCUGACACAAAUUUACUCUGUAUGAUGAAUCCAAGGCCCGGUAUAAGGAUUUCCUGAUUUAUUAUUUGCCGCAUCUGGUGUUUCUCAUCUUAACAUGAAUUUGAAGUGUCACCUUUUGCAUCCAAGUAAUACUAUUGGUUCACAUUGAUCCUAUCUACCAUGUACCAACUCACUCACUUUUCUAAAUACUGAUAUGGAAUUAACCUUUAGUUACAACCCUAUUUGGUUUUGAGUUACAAAAUGUCCUUUUUUAAGACUUUUCUUCUUAACACGUUGCGUUAACAGCUCAUCCACUGAGGAUUUUGAAAUAUGAUAGUACUCUUCCUCUGUUUUCUUUAUCUUUUAUUUACAAGUUAGUUCUAUUGUGAGGAGAAGCUUUGGAAGUGGUUAAUCAGUUCACUAAGAUAAUUUGAGGUCGACGAGCAGAUUGAUUGCUCAUAUAUCCACCUUAAGAUGGCCACAACGUAUUUCAGAUUUUAGCACAUUAGCUGCCAUCGUUUUGUGAUUUCAGAAAUAUAUUUCAUGUGCUGGAUGGCCUCACUCUUUUAUUGGGUUGUUUUCAGUUAAAGGUUAGAAGACAUGCCAAAUAAUGCAUACUUCUCAAUCAAAUGAACAGACAUGCUAUCCGCCGAGCUUCAAGACUGAAGGGAUAGAUAACCACAACUUCUAAUGACCUAUACCAGCGAUUGAUUGUAGCAUACUGGAUUCCUAAUGCUGACAGGAAUAGCCGCCAUGGCGAUAUUUACAGGCUGUGCACUGAGAUCGAAUAGUCUACAUCAUGCCUCUGGUCGGAACAAAUAAAAAAAAUUGUGUGCUGGACUGAACACACUUGGGAUUUCUGUUUCCUGUAACAUUUUAUUUGGGGAGUUUGUGACUUCUAGACCUGAAUGGUUGUGCAUGGACCAGAAUAUGAAUGAAGGAUACUUUAGUAACAUUUAUGUAGAGAUCCGCAGCGGCACCGGCACCAGCGCGCCGUCGUCCACCUGGUCCUCGAGGAAGGCCAUGGAUGGGGGCAGAACCCUAGCCCCACACCCAUCCAUCACGGCGGUGGCCUUCUCUCGGUGGGGUGGGGAGCGAAGUUUUCUGAUGUGGUGGCCCUCGACGCCUGCGACGGGCUACAACACCUUGGCUUCAAAGGUACAUAUUGAAGGAUGUUCUGAGGCUAGCACCUGGUUUAGAAGUUUUGCAAUUCACAACAAUACCUCAUAAUUUUGAUUUGAUGUCCAGAAUGUCAAUUGAAGAAUGAGCCUACAAACUACAUUGUAGUUUGUAAUAUAUCCUUAUAUAUGGUGCUUGUGUGUUUUUUUCAAUUAUAAGUUUGCAUUUAUGGGCAUUACAAAGUCCCCCUUUCUUUUUCCACAAGGGGCAGUAGCUGUGCCAUUCGAUUCGAAGGACAAAGAGUUGAUCACAAUGGGGUAGCAUUCAGGAUAUAUACACAAGAGUAUAGAACCAAAUUAUAUGAUGUAAUUGACCACUAUUUCUAUUAACUUUUCUUGUACACAAUGUUCACAAGUUCAUGUAUUAGGUACAUUUUAUUGUUUACUCUUUUUUAAUGCAAGUUUACA